Molecule: ribosomal RNA, 363 nt
Filed under: Triticum aestivum (bread wheat)
Lineage: Eukaryota; Viridiplantae; Streptophyta; Magnoliopsida; Poales; Poaceae
Description: partial small subunit ribosomal RNA
Source: RNAcentral
AUGGAGAGGGAAGCUAAAGAAAGGUGGUUGAACUUGAGAGAAAAUGAAUGCCUGGCUUUCCCGUGUAUGCCGCCGCCGACCGACCUCUACACCACUAGUAACAGCUUCUUCUUCUUGCUGCUGCACCCCUCCGCUUCUUGGCCAUGGCCGCCCGUCCAGCUCCCCCGCCGCAUCCUGCUACCACAUGCACCGGCCGGGCAAGAGGCCGGACGCAUCACCGCCGAGCCGAACGCGCGCCCCGACGCCGCCGUUACGAGGGACGCGCCUCCUCCUCGCGCGUGCCCAUGUAGCUCGCCGCCGGCCGGGCAAGCUACGAACGAGCUCAGAGACACUAUCAAAGCAGCAGAUUGGAGGCGAGACUGA